CCCGAAACCGGGCGACCUACCCAUGAGCAGGAUGAAGCGAAAGUAAAAUUUCGUGGAGGUCCGAACCCACGAGCGUUGAAAAGCUCGGGGAUGACUUGUGGGUAGCGGUGAAAUUCCAAUCGAGCCCGGAGAUAGCUGGUUCUCCCCGAAAUAGCUUUAGGGCUAGCCUCAAGGUGAGAGAUACGGAGGUAGAGCACUGAAUGUCCUAGGGGGUAUUGCACCUACCGAAGACUAUCAAACUCCGAAUGCCGUCAUCUUAUACUUGGGAGUCAGACUGUGGGUGAUAAGAUUCAUAGUCGAAAGGGCAACAGCCCAGAUCGUCAGCUAAGGUCCCUAAAUGUAAGUUAAGUGGUAAAGGAUGUGGGAUUGCACAGACAACCAGGAUGUUGGCUUAGAAGCAGCCACUCAUUCAAAGAGUGCGUA
Molecule: ribosomal RNA, 423 nt
Filed under: Clostridioides difficile
Lineage: Bacteria; Bacillati; Bacillota; Clostridia; Peptostreptococcales; Peptostreptococcaceae
Description: partial 23S ribosomal RNA
Rfam family: Bacterial large subunit ribosomal RNA
Source: RNAcentral